Molecule: long non-coding RNA, 517 nt
Filed under: Musa acuminata (dwarf banana)
Lineage: Eukaryota; Viridiplantae; Streptophyta; Magnoliopsida; Zingiberales; Musaceae
Description: long non-coding RNA (MACU_LNC009863)
Source: RNAcentral
GUUUUGUGGAAGAUACCUCGCAUCAAAGCCAAUAAGAGAGUAAGUCGUGUACAUAUUCUAUUACAAAGUCAACUAGAUCAGAUCGUUUCUAUGACAAAAGUGGGCUAGCAAGUUAUGUAUUCUGGCCCUCUUGUAGAAUGCGCUAGCAAUGUAGUAUAGGGCCAAUACUUACUUAACAAUGAUGAAAGGGUUUCAAUGAUUAAAGCAAGGGCAGAUCAGGAUACAGAAAUAGUUGAGUUACCGCACCAACCCAGUAACAGAAUUCCACAAGUCAGGAGGUCUAUGUUAUUAAUAAGAUAUGCAUUUCAAGAGCAACUAGGAAAGCAAGAUAGAGUUGGCUUCUCUAGCCCGGAAAGUAAGCUAACGCACUUAGUAUUGUUGGUCCAGUAGCCGGCUACCCAAUAUCAUCUUUCCUUUCUUGCACUGAAGAUCUGAUUGCCCUCACUCCUACUUAGACUAGAAUACUAAUCCGAUACUUAUACUAAUAAUCAUAAGGGAUACGGAGCAGCCCUGCCGC